Molecule: long non-coding RNA, 1014 nt
Filed under: Dromaius novaehollandiae (emu)
Lineage: Eukaryota; Metazoa; Chordata; Aves; Casuariiformes; Dromaiidae
Description: lncRNA (ENSDNVG00000006476.1)
Source: RNAcentral
AAAAAUUAAUGCCACGUCUCCCCCGUUUCAGAAGACUGCUGUUUAAAUGCUGUUUAAAUGGUCCCAAGAGCAACAAUCCUGUCCUACCACAUCCCGGAAUUCAGGUUCUGCUCUUCUUGAACAAGUUACUGAGGAAAAUUUAUCAUCUCUUAUUGCCUUUGAAUGCAAUGCCAAGGCUAUCGCAAACUGGGCACAAGUACAGUCACUGAUCACUUAUACAGCAAACGUCGGCUGCAGCCAACAGCACCUCCCCACCCACUGGACUGCGGCAUGAGGCGUACGGUUCUGCCGUGGUCGCGGACACCUCGGGCCAAGUGCUCUCAAUCUCACCUUGAAUUAUUGACCAAAUCUUAAUGGAGAGACUGCGUUAUAAGGAGCUCUCCUCCUCGUGUUGAUCUCUUGCCUUAUCCGUUGUGAUUGUGCAAGACACCUGCAGGACUUGGCCACAUAAAAAUGAAGGCUAGGGAAGUGCUUGGAAACUUGUUAAGCACAUUUAUCCAUAACUGCGACUUAGCAGUCAUCGUCUUAAGUCUUUUUGCCAAGACUUCCAAAUUUUUCUGUCUUUUGUAUAGCUCCCACCUCUUUCUGACUAUGACUCUUCCCUAAAAUGCCUGUAACUGCAUGGCACAUUGCACUGAAAGCGUUCUUCAAAGCCCUGCCUGCUUGGUUUAGAAAUAUUUGCAUUUAUGUGAAGUUGUGCUGUGCUGUGACUGGCCAGUGCCAAUGAGUCAGAGCCAGGAGCAGGCUUCAAAUCCAGGAGAUUAAUUGCCCCCUUAAGAGAGACCCAGAGCAGGACUUUCAGAUUUGGUGGACAUUUGGGUUCUAGGUUAGGUUUUUCUGCAGUUAAUAACCAGAUCACACAUGCUACACUCAAGGUCCUCCCUAGUCCUUCCAGGUUACAGCACAUUUCUUUAAAAAAAGGCCUUUGGUGAAGUUUGGCCCCUUGUGCACUGGUCAUCUUAAUCCCACUCCAGCCUGGUCCACGGGGACCCUGGGGUUGUGAUGGGACGGUUG